This 74-nucleotide small RNA is filed under the name Franconibacter helveticus. RNAcentral's name for it is "PyrD leader". It matches the Rfam family "PyrD leader". The record is from RNAcentral. Lineage: Bacteria; Pseudomonadati; Pseudomonadota; Gammaproteobacteria; Enterobacterales; Enterobacteriaceae.
AUUCCCUUUGCGAAAGGGAUCGCGGAUAAUACCGCCCCGGUUUACACACCGGGAAUCCAGGAGAGUUCAUGUAC